Molecule: unclassified non-coding RNA, 336 nt
Filed under: soil metagenome
Description: partial contains 5.8S ribosomal RNA, internal transcribed spacer 2, and large subunit ribosomal RNA
Rfam family: 5.8S ribosomal RNA (bases 1-120)
Source: RNAcentral
GAUGAAGAACGCAGCGAAAUGCGAUAAGUAGUGUGAAUUGCAGAAUUCAGUGAAUCAUCGAAUCUUUGAACGCACAUUGCGCCCCUUGGUAUUCCAUGGGGCAUGCCUGUUCGAGCGUCAUUUGUACCUUCAAGCUUUGCUUGGUGUUGGGUGUUUGUCUCGCCUCCGCGUGUAGACUCGCCUCAAAACAAUUGGCAGCCGGCGUAUUGAUUUCGGAGCGCAGUACAUCUCGCGCUUUGCACUCACAACGACGACGUCCAAAAGUACAUUUUUACACUCUUGACCUCGGAUCAGGUAGGGAUACCCGCUGAACUUAAGCAUAUCAAUAAGCGGGGA